Magallana angulata is the source of this 1249-nucleotide long non-coding RNA. RefSeq lists it as uncharacterized. NCBI's taxonomy places the organism in Eukaryota, Metazoa, Mollusca, Bivalvia, Ostreida, Ostreidae. The transcript has 4 exons. The record is from RefSeq and is a predicted model, not a curated record.
GAGGAUUCUUUCAAACCAUCGAUUUGGUAAAAAAGAAACAGAUUUUUACUUCGCUGGAAAGAAGGGCAUGACCUAUAUUGUGCCCCGAAAUAAACCUAUACCUGUGCUACGAACAAGCGCACAGAGAGUUUGAUUGAAAUUAAGAAAUUCCCGACAGACUCCGCUUUACGGAUCAGCGCUAGUUCAAUAUCUGUCUUGGAUCGAUUCUUCCCCAUCGCAACCAUCAGCGCCCGUAGAGUCAGCAUUACUACACGACUGAGUGGAGUUCGUCUGAGGACAAGAACCCCUCUCCCCCCAACUCACUCUUCAUCGCCGCCUCUGUGGUCAGUGACAAGGAAAUCGUUCUUCUCUCGACCUUUCUCGACGCCAUUGGUAUGAAAUCGAAGAUGUGCUAGAUUGAUUUCUGGAUGAACCGGGGAGGUUUAUAUCUUAAUCAAUACGAGGGAUUGACCCCUCUGCCUAACAAGACUCUAAGGUCCCUACAGGUAGCCCAAGUUCACAAAAGGACAACGAUUUCAGAGAAUAUUGUAACAGUCGAAGCAAGAAAGUGUGCUGGAUUAAAGAAAAUGAAUUCUUGCUCCUGCUGAAAAGACGUAAUCGAUCCGGACUGUAUUCAUAUGGUAAGAGGCAGCAGAGAGGGGAGAAAGAAAAAAAGGAGGGCCGUGGAAAAUAAAUCUUAUUAUUGAUAUACAAAAUUCCAGUUGCGACAUGUGUUGGUAUAGAGUCAGUGAGACGGGGAGGGAGGGCUUAGGCCAUUGGCUGGACCAUAGGUUAAGUGGAGGACUUCGGAGGAGGCUGCUAGAUCCUGGCGACGAGAACCCGGCACCGCGCACCUGUUUUGAGCCAAGUGCAAGCUAUCCGAUGGAAAGAAGGACCCAUCAAGAUUAUAGUAUUGGCAUCGCUAGUGCACCUUGGUUGAUUCACUUUGAUGGGAAGAUUCUGUAACUAGACUCGAACUUCUUCCAAAACAGGUGCUUCAAAGAUAUCUUAAACGGUGUCAGAGAUCAAACCCUGAACGUGCUUCAAUAGAGACUGCUGGGAUUUUCUUUCAUUUAUUAUGGCACACGUCUCUCCCACAAUAAAAGAUGUCGCGGGCCACAAGCUGUUGCAAGGAGCAAUUGACAAAUUAACUUUCGCUAAAAAAAAAAUUAUUCAUCAUGAAAAAUUCUCGCCUUUUGAUGUUUUGUGGUUAAAAUUUAAUGUUUCAUAAACCUAUAUUAUGGUUGAAAAUAUAUAAAUUGUUAAAAAA